UGGGGAAUUUUGGACAAUGGGGGCAACCCUGAUCCAGCCAUGCCGCGUGAGUGAAGAAGGCCUUCGGGUUGUAAAGCUCUUUCGGCGGGGACGAAACGGUCCGUGACAACACCACGGACUAAUGACAGUACUCGCAGAAGAAGCACCGGCUAACUACGUGCCAGCAGCCGCGGUAAUACGUAGGGUGCAGGCGUUAAUCGGAAUUACUGGGCGUAAAGCGUGCGCAGGCGGCUCCUUAAGUCAGAUGUGAAAUCCCCGGGCUUAACCUGGGAACUGCGUUUGAAACUGAGGGGCUAGAGUGUGGAAGAGGGGGGUGGAAUUCCAGGUGUAGCAGUGAAAUGCGUAGAGAUCUGGAGGAACACCGAUGGCGAAGGCAGCCCCCUGGGCUAACACUGACGCUCAUGCACGAAAGCGUGGGGAGCAAACAGGAUUAGAUACCCGCGUAGUCCCUGAGCGGGCUGGCAAGGCGC
Molecule: ribosomal RNA, 470 nt
Filed under: uncultured bacterium
Lineage: Bacteria
Description: bacterial SSU rRNA
Rfam family: Bacterial small subunit ribosomal RNA
Source: RNAcentral